UGAAGUACUAAUCAUAUGAAUGAUUGUUAGUAUUGUACUACAAUGGUCUCAAGGUUGGAGCAAAGUUUGUAUAAGGUAUACAAACGAAAUAUAUGUCGAUAUAUAGUUUUAGAAACUGCUUCAAAAGGUGUUUUGAAUGAAGGGGUUCUUAUAGAACCAAUGAUUGAAUCCAAACCAUAAGGUCGUUAGUAGGAUACUACGACGUAAUGGGGCGAUAACUCAAGCCAUGGAAUCAAGGUCUUAUCAAAGUAUUCGAACACAAGAAAGAGACAUCAUCAAAUGUUUUGGAAACAUUUGAUAAGUAAAUCCCUUUUAGAUGGUAAAAGGGAUUAAUACAUAACCAAGUUAACCUACGAGCAUAAGCUCUCUCGACUAGCAUGUAUAAGAUACACUAGUGAUUGACUUUAGUGCAAAUGGGAGAUUGUUGGAAAUAUGCCCUGAAAGUCAAUCUUUGGAAGAAACCUUUCAGGACAAAUGAAUCGAUGUACGGAUGACUCUUAUACAUCAAAUGGAAAAGACACGAAUUAGGACUAUCUCAAUAAACGAUAUAUGUCCUAAAUAGUGU
Molecule: long non-coding RNA, 565 nt
Filed under: Malus domestica (apple)
Lineage: Eukaryota; Viridiplantae; Streptophyta; Magnoliopsida; Rosales; Rosaceae
Description: long non-coding RNA (MDOM_LNC018766)
Source: RNAcentral